Molecule: ribosomal RNA, 347 nt
Filed under: uncultured soil bacterium
Lineage: Bacteria
Description: bacterial SSU rRNA
Rfam family: Bacterial small subunit ribosomal RNA
Source: RNAcentral
AGCCUGAACGCUGGCGGCGUGGCUAAGACAUGCAAGUCGCACGGGACCCGCAAGGGUUCAGUGGCGCACGGGUGAGUAAUGUAUCGCUAAUGUACCCCGGAGACAGGGAUAGCCAUCCGAAAGGGUGGGUAAUACCUGAUGAUAUAAUCCCGACGCAUGUCGGGAUUCUCAAUCACAGCAAUGUGCUCUGGGAGCAGGCGAUAUCGUAUCAGCUAGUUGGUGAGGUAACGGCUCACCAAGGCGACGACGCGUAGCUGGUCUGAGAGGACGACCAGCCACAGUCGGGACUGAGACACUCGCCCGGACUCCGUACGGGGGGCUCGACAGUAACGACGUCCUUACCGCAA